UUUGGGUUUUAAAUGGAAGCAUUGUUUACUCUGGAAAAGAGGGGGUGGUUGGAGUUUUUGGUCCGCCGCCAGGAGGACCUUCUUCCUUCUCCUCCUCGCGACGCCGCCAUACUGGCCGCCGGUAGGCCUCCAGUGCCUCCCGCCACUACCGCCAGCGCCUUACGCCGCUACCUCCGGCGCCUCACACCGCCAGCAGGGACCAAAGGGAAGGUCUUUCUUCCUCCCUUCCGCGCCAUAUCGUGUGUAGACCCUAUAUCCAUGAGGUAUCAAAUUUCCUCAUUUUUUUACAAGACUCUAUGUGCAUGGCACCCGUGUCGAACCAUAUGAUGUGGAUGAUGUGGAGAUUGAAGACUUUGUGAAAAAGAAAUAUCAAAAGAGAGGUAGGACUCAGGAUGGCUACUUAUAACUCUUAGCAGUUGCUCUAAAGCCUAUGUACAAAUGUUACCAACCACAACCAUGUUGAAGAGGAGAACUAUAUCAAAAUACAAACUCUCUAAAUGGAACAACGGAAGCUUUUCUUCAUGCAAUUGCUAAUGAGAGACGCAUUCAGAAGUCAAACAAUUUAAUGUUUGUAUUCUCUGGUAUUUAUGUGGCACUAAACAUCAUCCUGGUUCGAUCUGCUGGAGCAAUUGGCUUAAUUGCUGCUAAUUCAUUAAUCCACGCUGAUGCUUUUAGCCACACAAGAGUGAAGGAAUACCCUCCGAGAUCAAAGUACUUUAAACUUUUGUUCUGAUUUAGAAAAAGGAUAUGCUGCUCAAAUUGCAAUCUAGUGCGCUGCAUGACAGCACAAAGAAUAUAGGCUUUUACUGCUCAAAUGAGGCAGUUUUACGUAAAAGGCCAUCAAGUUAAUGUAAAAGGCCAUCAGUUCACAGAGCCAUCACGAUUGAAGGAUUUCAAUAUGCAUACUUGGAGCUUUGGAUCUGAAUGUAAAAGGCCUUGAGAAACGAAUCUAAAAGGGAAAAUCUUUGAUUUAGGCAAAAUUUCUCUGCACUUAUAUUGCAAGAGAAUAUUUUAUUUGCAGAUGAGAAAGUUGGAAGCACUGUAAUAGAUUGUGGUGAAUUCUAUUAAUGGACAAAAAAAAAGUAUAAAAUUUGCAUGAUGCCUGAUGCCUGA
Long non-coding RNA from Zingiber officinale, 1113 nucleotides. RefSeq lists it as uncharacterized. The record is from RefSeq and is a predicted model, not a curated record. The transcript has 3 exons. Lineage: Eukaryota; Viridiplantae; Streptophyta; Magnoliopsida; Zingiberales; Zingiberaceae.